AGGCAUGCAAGUCGAACGGGAUCGUCUGGAUAGCAAUAUUCGGGCGUGAGAGUGGCGGAUUGGGAGGAGCACGUGAGCAACCUGCCCUGGAGAUGUGGAAAACCUCUGGAAACGGAGGCUAAUACAGGAUGUGGCGCCCCAUGGCAUCAUGGGAGCGCCGAAGGGGGCCGCAAGGCUCCCGCUCCGGGAUGGGCUCGCGCACCAUCAGCUAGUUGGCGGGGUAACGGCCCACCAAGGCCUACGGUUAGCUGGUCUGAGAGGAUGACCAGCCCCACUGGGACUGAGAUACUGCCCAGACUCCUACGGGAGGCUGCAGUCGAGGAUCAUUCGCAAUGGACGGAAGUCUGACGAUGCAACGCUGCGUGGAGGAUGAAAGGCCUUCGGGUCGUAAACUCCUGUCAUGAGGGAAGAGGCGAGGGAAGCUAAUACCUUCUUUAGUUGACUGUACCUCAAAAGGAAGCGACGGCUAACUCUGUGCCAGCAGCAGC
Molecule: ribosomal RNA, 488 nt
Filed under: uncultured bacterium
Lineage: Bacteria
Description: bacterial SSU rRNA
Rfam family: Bacterial small subunit ribosomal RNA
Source: RNAcentral